CGUAUUGUUGCCAUGAAGAAGGUCUUCUUGGAACCAUCUGCUCACGAAGAGGGUGAUGCCUCUCUUGCUUUCAUUGAAGCAGAGGAAGAGCAAAGAAAAAGAUGUAGCCUGCAAAACAGAAAAAAGCAACAAAUUCACAUAACACUUACACUUGGUGAUUGAUAGAGAAAGCGAGAAAGAUUGAGGCUCCUUCUCACAGAGCGAAU
This 206-nucleotide long non-coding RNA is filed under the name Amborella trichopoda. RNAcentral's name for it is "long non-coding RNA (ATRI_LNC002465)". Lineage: Eukaryota; Viridiplantae; Streptophyta; Magnoliopsida; Amborellales; Amborellaceae. The record is from RNAcentral.